CAACAGCAACCCUCAGGGCGGGCAAAACAGCCUCACAGGCUGGAUCCUGCUAUCCAAGUCUCAGUGAAAGUCCUUGCCCUCAGAGCUUGGGUUAGCUGCAGCCCAUCCCCCCGCAGGCCGAGGAAACAGCCUCACAGCCAGCGAUUCUGAAGGCAACUUCCGGAAAGCGACCCGGAGAGGGGGGGGGGGGAGUGUGGCCUUGUGGUCCGACCCUUCCAUUCCAGUUCCAGUGAGGCAUAUUCAGUUUAACCCAGGGAAAGCUCAUAGAAGGGACAAUCUGCCCCGGACUAAAGCCUCUGAUCACCAGACAGAGAUAAGAAAAGCUAAUCCUCCACAUUCAGAGAUGGCAGCAAACUUCACAGAAGCACAGAAGCCCCAAAAUACCAAGAAAAAUAAGAAGAAAGGGGCGACUUUAGACACAUUCUAUGGAGCCAAAAUACAAAAUACAGAGCAGAUAGAAGAAGAUAUACAAGAAAAUUCUCUAAAAUCUUCCAAAGGAAAUAGAAACUCUCCACAAACCCAUGAAGAAUUUGAAUCAGAAAUGACCAAAAAGAUGGAAGCCCUCUGGGAGGAAAAGUGGGAAAUAAUGCAAAAGAAAUGCAUGCAUCUACAAAACCAGUUUGACCAAACUGUAAAAGAAAACCAGGCUUUAAAGCAAGAACUAAUAAAGCAAAGCCAAAACACCAAGAAAUUAGAAGAGAACAUAAAAUAUCUCACCGACAAGGUGAUAGAUCUGGAAAAUAGAGGGAGAAGAGAAAAUUUAAGAAUAAUUGGACUCCCAGAAAAGCCAGAAAUAAACACCAAACUGGACAUGGUGAUACAAGAUAUAAUCAAAGAAAAUUGCCCAGAGAUUCUAGAACAAGAGGGCAAUACAGCCACUGACAGAGCUCACAGAACACCUUCUACACUAAACCCCCAAAAGACAACUCCCAGGAAUGUAAUUGCCAAAUUCCAAAGCUAUCAAACAAAAGAAAAAAUCCUACAGGAAGCCAGAAAAAGUCAAUUUAGAUAUAAAAGAAUGCCA
RNAcentral lists this long non-coding RNA (1024 nucleotides) under Monodelphis domestica (gray short-tailed opossum). RNAcentral describes it as "lncRNA (ENSMODG00000037677.1)". Lineage: Eukaryota; Metazoa; Chordata; Mammalia; Didelphimorphia; Didelphidae. The record is from RNAcentral.